This 781-nucleotide ribosomal RNA is filed under the name uncultured bacterium. RNAcentral's name for it is "bacterial SSU rRNA". It matches the Rfam family "Bacterial small subunit ribosomal RNA", at positions 1 to 772 of the family's 1533-position model. The record is from RNAcentral.
AUCGCGCGAUCGCCUUGAGUUGAUCAUGGCUCGAACGAACGCUGGCGGCGCGCCUAAUACAUGCAAGUCGAACGAGAAUGUGUAGCAAUACACAUGUACAGUGGCGAACGGGUGAGGAAUACAUAGGUAACCUACCCUCGAGUGGGGAAUAACUAGCCGAAAGGUUAGCUAAUACCGCGUACGCUCCCCGGACUACGGUUCGGGGAGGAAAGCGAUACCGUGGGUAUCGCGCUCUUGGAUGGGCUUAUGUCCUAUCAGCUUGUUGGUGAGGUAACGGCUCACCAAGGCUACGACGGGUAGCUGGUCUGAGAGGACGAUCAGCCACACUGGCACUGCGACACGGGCCAGACUCCUACGGGAGGCAGCAGUAAGGAAUAUUGCGCAAUGGGCGACAGCCUGACGCAGCGACGCCGCGUGGGGGACGAAGGUCUUCGGAUUGUAAACCCCUUUCGGGAGGGAAGAUGGGACGGGUAACCGUUCGGACGGUACCUCCAGAAGCAGCCACGGCUAACUUCGUGCCAGCAGCCGCGGUAAUACGAAGGUGGCAAGCGUUGUUCGGAUUUACUGGGCGUACAGGGAGCGUAGGCGGUUUCGUAAGCCCUCUGUGAAAUCUCCAGGCUUAACCUGGAACAGCCGGAGGGGACUGCUGAGCUAGAGGAUGGGAGAGGAGCGCGGAAUUCCCGGUGUAGCGGUGAAAUGCGUAGAGAUCGGGAGGAGGGCCGGUGGCGAAGCNGCGCUCUGGAACUUUCUGACGCUGANGCUCGAAAGCGUGGGGAGCAAA